GGAGGGUGCAAGCGUUAUCCGGAUUCACUGGGUUUAAAGGGUGCGUAGGCGGCUUUAUAAGUCAAUGGUGAAAGCUCGCAGCUUAACUGUGAAACUGCCAUUGAAACUGUUUAGCUUGAAUCUGGUUGAAGUGGGCGGAAUACAACAUGUAGCGGUGAAAUGCUUAGAUAUGUUGUAGAACACCGAUUGCGAAGGCAGCUCACUAAGCCAACAUUGACGCUGAGGCACGAAAGCGUGGGUAGCGAACAGGAUUAGAUACCCUGGUAGUCCACGCCCUAAACGAUGAAUACUCGAUGUGUGCGCCUUGUGCGUACGCGUCCAAGCAAAAGCGUUAAGUAUUCCACCUGGGAAGUACGGCCGCAAGGUUA
RNAcentral lists this ribosomal RNA (368 nucleotides) under uncultured organism. RNAcentral describes it as "bacterial SSU rRNA". It matches the Rfam family "Bacterial small subunit ribosomal RNA", at positions 527 to 896 of the family's 1533-position model. The record is from RNAcentral.